GUAGUCCACGCCGUAAACGAUGAAUACUAGGUGUCGGGGUCGAACCUCGGUGCCGCAGUUAACACAAUAAGUAUUCCGCCUGGGGAGUACGAUCGCAAGAUUAAAACUCAAAGGAAUUGACGGGGGCCCGCACAAGCAGCGGAGCAUGUGGUUUAAUUCGAAGCAACGCGAAGAACCUUACCUAGACUUGACAUCCCCUGCGUAACCCAGAGAUGGGCAAAGUCCUUCGGGACAGGGUGACAGGUGGUGCAUGGUUGUCGUCAGCUCGUGUCGUGAGAUGUUGGGUUAAGUCCCGCAACGAGCGCAACCUUAUCAUUAGUUGCUACCAUUAAGUUGAGCACUCUAGUGAGACUGCCCGGGUUAACCGGGAGGAAGGUGGGGAUGACGUCAAAUAUCAUGCCCCCUUAUGUCUAGGGGCUACACACNUGCUACAAUGGUGAGUACAAAGAGAUGCAAGACCGCAAGGUGGAGCCAAAUCUCAAAAACUCUCCCAGUUCGGAUUGUAGGCUGCAACUCGCCUACAUGAAGCCGGAGUUGCUAGUAAUCGCGAAUCCAGCAUGUCGCGGUGAAUACGUUCCCGGGCCUUGUACACACCGCCCGUCAC
This 604-nucleotide ribosomal RNA is filed under the name uncultured bacterium. RNAcentral describes it as "bacterial SSU rRNA". It matches the Rfam family "Bacterial small subunit ribosomal RNA", at positions 790 to 1400 of the family's 1533-position model. The record is from RNAcentral.